GGGGCGUAGCUCAGUUGGGAGAGCACCUGCCUUGCAAGCAGGGGGUCAGGAGUUCGAAUCUCCUCGUCUCC
RNAcentral lists this transfer RNA (71 nucleotides) under Veillonella atypica. It matches the Rfam family "tRNA". Rfam says of the family: Transfer RNA (tRNA) molecules are approximately 80 nucleotides in length. The record is from RNAcentral. Lineage: Bacteria; Bacillati; Bacillota; Negativicutes; Veillonellales; Veillonellaceae.